UACGGAAGGCAGCAGUGGGGAAUAUUGCACAAUGGGCGCAAGCCUGAUGCAGCCAUGCCGCGUGUAUGAAGAAGGCCUUCGGGUUGUAAAGUACUUUCAGUCGUGAGGAAGGUGUUAAGGUUAAUAACCUUAGCAAUUGACGUUAGCGACAGAAGAAGCACCGGCUAACUCCGUGCCAGCAGCCGCGGUAAUACGGAGGGUGCGAGCGUUAAUCGGAAUUACUGGGCGUAAAGGGCACGCAGGCGGUUAAUUAAGUUGGAUGUGAAAUCCCCGGGCUUAACCUGGGAAUGGCAUUCAAGACUGGUUAGCUAGAGUCUUGUAGAGGGGGUAGAAUUCCGAUGUGUAGCGGUGAAAUGCGUAGAGAUGUGGAGGAAUACCGGGUGGCGAAGGCGGCCCCUGGGACAAAGGCUGACGCUCAUGUGCGAAAGCGUGGGGAGCAAACAGGAUUAGAUACC
RNAcentral lists this ribosomal RNA (455 nucleotides) under uncultured bacterium. Its description in RNAcentral is "bacterial SSU rRNA". It matches the Rfam family "Bacterial small subunit ribosomal RNA", at positions 340 to 786 of the family's 1533-position model. The record is from RNAcentral.